This 2060-nucleotide ribosomal RNA is filed under the name Escherichia coli KTE213. RNAcentral's name for it is "bacterial LSU rRNA". It matches the Rfam family "Bacterial large subunit ribosomal RNA", at positions 890 to 2925 of the family's 2925-position model. The record is from RNAcentral. Lineage: Bacteria; Pseudomonadati; Pseudomonadota; Gammaproteobacteria; Enterobacterales; Enterobacteriaceae.
UCAUCUCCGGGGGUAGAGCACUGUUUCGGCAAGGGGGUCAUCCCGACUUACCAACCCGAUGCAAACUGCGAAUACCGGAGAAUGUUAUCACGGGAGACACACGGCGGGUGCUAACGUCCGUCGUGAAGAGGGAAACAACCCAGACCGCCAGCUAAGGUCCCAAAGUCAUGGUUAAGUGGGAAACGAUGUGGGAAGGCCCAGACAGCCAGGAUGUUGGCUUAGAAGCAGCCAUCAUUUAAAGAAAGCGUAAUAGCUCACUGGUCGAGUCGGCCUGCGCGGAAGAUGUAACGGGGCUAAACCAUGCACCGAAGCUGCGGCAGCGACGCUUAUGCGUUGUUGGGUAGGGGAGCGUUCUGUAAGCCUGCGAAGGUGUACUGUGAGGUAUGCUGGAGGUAUCAGAAGUGCGAAUGCUGAUAUAAGUAACGAUAAAGCGGGUGAAAAGCCCGCUCGCCGGAAGACCAAGGGUUCCUGUCCAACGUUAAUCGGGGCAGGGUGAGUCGACCCCUAAGGCGAGGCCGAAAGGCGUAGUCGAUGGGAAACAGGUUAAUAUUCCUGUACUUGGUGUUACUGCGAAGGGGGGACGGAGAAGGCUAUGUUGGCCGGGCGACGGUUGUCCCGGUUUAAGCGUGUAGGCUGGUUUUCCAGGCAAAUCCGGAAAAUCAAGGCUGAGGCGUGAUGACGAGGCACUACGGUGCUGAAGCAACAAAUGCCCUGCUUCCAGGAAAAGCCUCUAAGCAUCAGGUAACAUCAAAUCGUACCCCAAACCGACACAGGUGGUCAGGUAGAGAAUACCAAGGCGCUUGAGAGAACUCGGGUGAAGGAACUAGGCAAAAUGGUGCCGUAACUUCGGGAGAAGGCACGCUGAUAUGUAGGUGAAGCGCCUUGCUGGUGGAGCUGAAAUCAGUCGAAGAUACCAGCUGGCUGCAACUGUUUAUUAAAAACACAGCACUGUGCAAACACGAAAGUGGACGUAUACGGUGUGACGCCUGCCCGGUGCCGGAAGGUUAAUUGAUGGGGUUAGCGGUAACGCGAAGCUCUUGAUCGAAGCCCCGGUAAACGGCGGCCGUAACUAUAACGGUCCUAAGGUAGCGAAAUUCCUUGUCGGGUAAGUUCCGACCUGCACGAAUGGCGUAAUGAUGGCCAGGCUGUCUCCACCCGAGACUCAGUGAAAUUGAACUCGCUGUGAAGAUGCAGUGUACCCGCGGCAAGACGGAAAGACCCCGUGAACCUUUACUAUAGCUUGACACUGAACAUUGAGCCUUGAUGUGUAGGAUAGGUGGGAGGCUUUGAAGUGUGGACGCCAGUCUGCAUGGAGCCGACCUUGAAAUACCACCCUUUAAUGUUUGAUGUUCUAACGUUGGCCCCUAAUCGGGGUUGCGGACAGUGUCUGGUGGGUAGUUUGACUGGGGCGGUCUCCUCCUAAAGAGUAACGGAGGAGCACGAAGGUUGGCUAAUCCUGGUCGGACAUCAGGAGGUUAGUGCAAUGGCAUAAGCCAGCUUGACUGCGAGCGUGACGGCGCGAGCAGGUGCGAAAGCAGGUCAUAGUGAUCCGGUGGUUCUGAAUGGAAGGGCCAUCGCUCAACGGAUAAAAGGUACUCCGGGGAUAACAGGCUGAUACCGCCCAAGAGUUCAUAUCGACGGCGGUGUUUGGCACCUCGAUGUCGGCUCAUCACAUCCUGGGGCUGAAGUAGGUCCCAAGGGUAUGGCUGUUCGCCAUUUAAAGUGGUACGCGAGCUGGGUUUAGAACGUCGUGAGACAGUUCGGUCCCUAUCUGCCGUGGGCGCUGGAGAACUGAGGGGGGCUGCUCCUAGUACGAGAGGACCGGAGUGGACGCAUCACUGGUGUUCGGGUUGUCAUGCCAAUGGCACUGCCCGGUAGCUAAAUGCGGAAGAGAUAAGUGCUGAAAGCAUCUAAGCACGAAACUUGCCCCGAGAUGAGUUCUCCCUGACUCCUUGAGAGUCCUGAAGGAACGUUGAAGACGACGACGUUGAUAGGCCGGGUGUGUAAGCGCAGCGAUGCGUUGAGCUAACCGGUACUAAUGAACCGUGAGGCUUAACCUU